This 377-nucleotide ribosomal RNA is filed under the name uncultured Glomus. RNAcentral describes it as "SSU rRNA". It matches the Rfam family "Eukaryotic small subunit ribosomal RNA", at positions 635 to 1016 of the family's 1831-position model. Lineage: Eukaryota; Fungi; Glomeromycota; Glomeromycetes; Glomerales; Glomeraceae. The record is from RNAcentral.
UGAAUUUCGGGGUUAGGGCUUUGGUCGUGCCACAGGUAUGUACUCCUCUGACAGCUCAUCACUUCCUGAUGAGCCGUAAUGCCAUUAAUUUGGUGUUGCGGGGAAUCUGGACUGUUACUUUGAAAAAAUUAGAGUGUUUAAAGCAAGCUAACGCUUGAAUACAUUAGCAUGGAAUAAUGGAAUAGGACGUUCGAUCCUAUUUUGUUGGUUUCUAGGAUUGACGUAAUGAUUAAUAGGGAUAGUUGGGGGCAUCAGUAUUCAAUUGUCAGAGGUGAAAUUCUUGGAUUUAUUGAAGACUAACUACUGCGAAAGCAUUUGCCAAGGAUGUUUUCAUUAAUCAAGAACGAAAGUUAGGGGAUCGAAGACGAUCAGAUACC